CCUACGGGAGGCAGCAGUGAGGAAUAUUGGUCAAUGGGCGCUAGCCUGAACCAGCCAAGUAGCGUGAAGGAUGACUGCCCUAUGGGUUGUAAACUUCUUUUAUAUGGGAAUAAAGUGCAGUAUGUAUACUGCUUUGCAUGUACCUUAUGAAUAAGGAUCGGCUAACUCCGUGCCAGCAGCCGCGGUAAUACGGAGGAUUCGAGCGUUAUCCGGAUUUAUUGGGUUUAAAGGGAGCGUAGGCGGGUUGUUAAGUCAGUUGUGAAAGUUUGCGGCUCAACCGUAAAAUUGCAGUUGAUACUGGCAGCCUUGAGUACAGUAGAGGUAGGCGGAAUGCGUGGUGGAGCGGUGAAAUGCUUAGAUAUCACGAAGAACUCCGAUUGCGAAGGCAGCCUGCUGGACUGUAACUGACGCUGAUGCUCGAAAGUGUGGGUAUCAAACAGGAUUAGAUACCCCUGUAGUC
This 460-nucleotide ribosomal RNA is filed under the name uncultured bacterium. RNAcentral describes it as "partial 16S ribosomal RNA". It matches the Rfam family "Bacterial small subunit ribosomal RNA", at positions 338 to 795 of the family's 1533-position model. The record is from RNAcentral.